UACAGAGGUCUCAAGCGUUGUUCGGAUUCAUUGGGCGUAAAGGGCGCGUAGGCGGCGGGGUAAGUCGGGUGUGAAAUCUCAGAGCUCAACUCUGAAACUGCACUCGAUACUGCUCUGCUUGAGGACUGGAGAGGAGACUGGAAUUCACGGUGUAGCAGUGAAAUGCGUAGAUAUCGUGAGGAAGACCAGUGACGAAGGCGGGUCUCUGGGACAGUUCCUGACGCUGAGGCGCGAAGGCCAGGGGAGCCAAAGCGGG
Molecule: ribosomal RNA, 256 nt
Filed under: uncultured bacterium
Lineage: Bacteria
Description: partial 16S ribosomal RNA
Rfam family: Bacterial small subunit ribosomal RNA
Source: RNAcentral